AAAUCAUAAACAUCCAACUUAAUAGCAUAGCACCUUUAUGAACAGAAAGCUCAUGCAAAUUCUAAAUAAGUAACUAAUAAAAGCUAUGCUACUGAAAACCAGAUGGCCCUGCAUUUACCACUCUAAUCUCACACUAUACACAUUCCGCAUCAAUCUCCUCCUGCCAGAACCACACAACAUCAAAAUAUUAAUCAAAAUCUACUCGUUGAAGUGCAAAA
Molecule: unclassified non-coding RNA, 218 nt
Filed under: Hevea brasiliensis (rubber tree)
Lineage: Eukaryota; Viridiplantae; Streptophyta; Magnoliopsida; Malpighiales; Euphorbiaceae
Source: RNAcentral